GACGAACGCUGGCGGCGUGCUUAACACAUGCAAGUCGAACGGAAAGGCCCUGCUUUUGUGGGGUGCUCGAGUGGCGAACGGGUGAGUAACACGUGAGUAACCUGCCCUCGACUUUGGGAUAACUUCAGGAAACUGGGGCUAAUACCGGAUAGGAGCUCCUGCUGCAUGGUGGGGGUUGGAAAGUUUCGGCGGUUGGGGAUGGACUCGCGGCUUAUCAGCUUGUUGGUGGGGUAGUGGCUUACCAAGGCUUUGACGGGUAGCCGGCCUGAGAGGGUGACCGGCCACAUUGGGACUGAGAUACGGCCCAGACUCCUACGGGAGGCAGCAGGGGGGAAUAUUGCACAAUGGGCGGAAGCCUGAUGCAGCAACGCCGCGUGCGGGAUGACGGCCUUCGGGUUGUAAACCGCUUUCGCCUGUGACGAAGCGUGAGUGACGGUAAUGGGUAAAGAAGCACCGGCUAACUACGUG
RNAcentral lists this ribosomal RNA (468 nucleotides) under uncultured bacterium. RNAcentral's name for it is "partial 16S ribosomal RNA". It matches the Rfam family "Bacterial small subunit ribosomal RNA", at positions 28 to 507 of the family's 1533-position model. The record is from RNAcentral.